GUGGGUAGUUUGACUGGGGCGGUCUCCUCCUAAAGAGUAACGGAGGAGCACGAAGGUUGGCUAAUCCUGGUCGGACAUCAGGAGGUUAGUGCAAUGGCAUAAGCCAGCUUGACUGCGAGCGUGACGGCGCGAGCAGGUGCGAAAGCAGGUCAUAGUGAUCCGGUGGUUCUGAAUGGAAGGGCCAUCGCUCAACGGAUAAAAGGUACUCCGGGGAUAACAGGCUGAUACCGCCCAAGAGUUCAUAUCGACGGCGGUGUUUGGCACCUCGAUGUCGGCUCAUCACAUCCUGGGGCUGAAGUAGGUCCCAAGGGUAUGGCUGUUCGCCAUUUAAAGUGGUACGCGAGCUGGGUUUAGAACGUCGUGAGACAGUUCGGUCCCUAUCUGCCGUGGGCGCUGGAGAACUGAGGGGGGCUGCUCCUAGUACGAGAGGACCGGAGUGGACGCAUCACUGGUGUUCGGGUUGUCAUGC
RNAcentral lists this ribosomal RNA (469 nucleotides) under Salmonella enterica. RNAcentral describes it as "partial 23S ribosomal RNA". It matches the Rfam family "Bacterial large subunit ribosomal RNA", at positions 2261 to 2729 of the family's 2925-position model. The record is from RNAcentral. Lineage: Bacteria; Pseudomonadati; Pseudomonadota; Gammaproteobacteria; Enterobacterales; Enterobacteriaceae.